This is a long non-coding RNA of Nothoprocta perdicaria, 3262 nucleotides long. RefSeq lists it as uncharacterized. The record is from RefSeq and is a predicted model, not a curated record. The transcript has 2 exons. NCBI's taxonomy places the organism in Eukaryota, Metazoa, Chordata, Aves, Tinamiformes, Tinamidae.
GCCUGAACUCAUCGUGGUCUGUAAAUAAGACAGCAAUCCAAAGAAGUGAGGAUUUAUUCUCUCAGAGCUUGAAGUUGUUUCCAAUGCAAACAAUCCUCUGCAUCAGACAAGGACGCCCACUGACUGCAGGGACAGCUGCCAGUGAGCUGAGCUGCUGCAGAGACCAGGCAGCUGCUCGAGGAGCACAGAUGCUCUGUGUCAGGCUCCUCAUUUUGCAGCAUCUUGGUGACCUCCAGUCAAGCCCUGCUGAACACUGAAGUCGGGGAAAAAAAUCUAUUUGCAGUUAUUCUAAGGGCAAGAACUGAUGAAACUUUAAUGCUACCUGCUGCAGUGCUUCAGCAUUGAGAAGUGGAAAGUCAGUAAUUGAUCCAAAGCAUGGAAAGAAAAUCUGUAACUCAGCACCUCUUAAAUCCCAGUCCCCAGCUUGUUCAGUGGAACCAAACGGAUUCCACUCUAGAGCAAAUGGAGAAAAGGGGAAGGAUUAUCUGCCAUUAAGGACUGACACCUGCUUAGACAUAUUUUGAACGUCUCAACCUACGUUAGCUUCAUUCACUACAACUGCCACUGAGGAGGACACAAAUCUGAGCUGAACAGGAAAGCAGGUUACUCAUCUUUUGGAAGACUUUGAUCAUAAUCUGACAUUUUUUUUCUCUCUAAUCUUUAUACACAAGAGGAUGCUUCACAGGCCUCAGCGACUUUUACAGCAUGAAAAGAAUCUGAACCAUCCUAUCUUUACACUCACCUCUCAGGCCGUUAAUCAAGACAGUGAGGAACUCCAGAGAAGAAUCCCGUACUUCCCAGCAAGGACUGCAUAAACGCUUCUGCAGCACCAGAAAUACAUCUGUCAAAGACAAGCGAAAGGCUUCGAUGGACAUGAAAAGUAACAAGCCUCACCAGAGCAAUCACUGUACAGCCUCUAUAUCAUUUUAUCAGAGGCAAGCCCUUCUUUUGUUGCGGUGUGCCUCCCAUACAGGGCACUGGCAAACUACACUCCAAGAAAUUGCAAAGGAGCAAGUGAGCCAAGCAGGAAAGGUUGGUAACAGCACAUUUCAUGGGUGCUGCCUGCUGCUCUUUGUCCCAAACGGAAUAGUUUUGUUACCUUGCAGAAUCUUCUUGAUUUGCCACUGGCUGCUGAAGCACGACAUUUCAGGGGUCUUCUGAGCAAUUCUGACAAAACAAACAAAAUUCCUAGCCCUAACAACUGGAUCCUUAAGUCAUGUCAAGUUUAGUAUGUUGCUGUUGCUCCUAGAUGUGAUGGCUCCCGUCUUUCACAAGUGUCUAGCUACUAACCUGCCAAAUUUAGCUAUUACCUGCAAGCCACCCAAAACCCAAGUAAACCUCCUACAUAUGGAGACCAACAAUGUUAAGAAGGAACUGUAGUCAGACUAUUUCUCAGAACUAGAUGUUCGGGUAACAAGCUUGACUUGUGUCCUAACUCCUGUCCUUACCAUAGGAUUUGUGUUGGGACUCUCCAGGUAUGACAAAAGGAUGUCAAAUAAACUCUCUACAGGUACGUCACAUCCUGAAACACAGAGAAUGGGUAACUAAAGGUCCAAUAUUGAGAGAAAGAAAAAAAUAUUGUGCUGGAAGAUAUAAGAUUAUUAAAACUGCCUUUUGGAGAAGAAAACAAAUACAGUCCUGAAAGCAAGGGAAAAAGCUCCGACUUCUCAAAACCACUAGUUAAAACUUUUUUUAAUUACAGCAUUACCUGCACUAGCUUAUUGAUGGAAAUUAAGGCUAACCAACAGCACAGAAGAAACUGAAAAAUGAACAAACUUCAGAAAUAAAAAUGGUGGUCUUUGCUCAGAGACUGCAGUGAAGAGGUGGAAUGAAAAAGUCUGCAAUUACAUAAUGGUCAAGUAUUUCCAAAAAAAAAUUAAAAAUGAAGCACAAAUAUAACUCACCCUUCUGCUCUGACAGCACAGCCAGGACAUCAAGAGCUGACCUCUGUACUCUGAAGCAACCAAUCAAAGUUUGGCUUAUCUUGCUGCCCAGAGGAGAAGUUGGAAUGAGGAGGCCGUUACAGAAUCGUAAUAUUGUCAUGACGGAACGCAGCAAAGAUGUACCGGGUAAAUCCACUGGCAAAUGACUCUGAUGGAAGAAGAAAAAAGUUCCCAACAAAUGUCUCAAAUGUGCAGACUGGGGGUUCUUGGUCAGGACUUGUGCAAAAACUGCAAUUUCUAGUGUGUCUAUUUUUAUUGGGCCACAAACAAAUUAUCUCUCUUUUUCCCAGAGAACUAUUGCACAAAUGGAAGGAAACUCCUGUCACUCCCUGGGAAAUUAGUUCAAUUAAUUUUUCAUGGGAUCAAUAUUUGCAGGAGAAGUAGGGUAUGAGUAACAAAGCUCUUUGUCUUUGCAAGUUUCUAUACAUGUUUUGUUCUCUUAUCUGGAGUCUACUGGGCUAGAUUUUGUUAACAUACAGAAGCACCUCCCCAACCUUCAACAUAUCUUCAAGUUCUGUGAAGUUCUAUUGCACAAGUUACAACCCAUCUUAAUACUGUGCUUUAAAGACUAGUCUCAUCCCUGGGCUUUUAUUUUGCUGAGUGUUACCAGAGAGAGUAGUUCUUCCAGAUGACCGAGAGUCUGACACAGGAGACUAGCACAAGACGACUUGGAGGACAGAAGACUUUCAACAGUGGCAGGAUCAGUGACAGACUCAUCCAACAAACCUGGAGGAGCAAAGGAGAGAAGAGCUCAGGUUGCUAUUUAGUGAGCACAAAAGACAGUGAUUUUCAAGUAUGGAUGCUAAUCAAGAAUUUCAGGUGAUUAAUUUGAAUUGUAUCCCUUCAACUGCCAUCUUAUCAAUCUGCAGGAUGCUGAACUUCACUGAAAACACCGUCACUGUCAUUGACUUCUUUCAGUCUUUCUUCUCCAACAGUCCCUGCCAAGCAGAAUAGUCUCUAACUUUUCCAUCACCACAGUACCUGAAUAUUCCAGAGGCUGGGAGGCUGCUCUUAAAAUGCAGUCCAUUGGCUGAAGCAGAACAGUUACUGCCUGAAUCCUCACAUCUUGUGGGCUUCAAAGGAGGAAACAGGAGUCAACAAUAAAUCAGAAAUGCUUCAAUUCUUGCUCUAACCAUGUGCCCCAGAUGUUGAUCAGAACAACAGCAUUUUUCACCUAGUCUUCUGAUCAUGCCAGUGACUGUCAGAAGACUAAUGCAACUAUUACCAGGAUUCAAGUCUUCUUCCAAGAUUCCUUGGCUAAACCAAGAGCAGAGGAGAAAUGGCUCUGAAAAUGAUAAGCAGCCUCAGCAAGCAGUGCA